Long non-coding RNA from Sapajus apella (tufted capuchin), 100 nucleotides. RefSeq lists it as uncharacterized. The record is from RefSeq and is a predicted model, not a curated record. NCBI's taxonomy places the organism in Eukaryota, Metazoa, Chordata, Mammalia, Primates, Cebidae. The transcript has 3 exons.
AUGGACUGAUUUUAAAAGCAACUAGGCCACAUCUUGAAUGCCUUGUUGCUUAGAAAUUUCUUCUACCAGAUACUCUAAAUCAUCACUCUCAAGUUCUAAG